RNAcentral lists this ribosomal RNA (166 nucleotides) under uncultured bacterium. RNAcentral's name for it is "partial 16S ribosomal RNA". It matches the Rfam family "Bacterial small subunit ribosomal RNA", at positions 1334 to 1500 of the family's 1533-position model. The record is from RNAcentral.
GCUAGUAAUGGCAGGUCAGCAUACUGCCGUGAAUACGUUCCCGGGCCUUGUACACACCGCCCGUCACACCAUGAGAGUUGGGAAUACCCGAAGCCUGUGAGCUAACUUAUAGAGGCAGCAGUCGAAGGUAGAAUCAAUGAUUGGGGUGAAGUCGUAACAAGGUAAC